AAAGACCUAAAUUAUCAGUGUGAGCAAGUUCAACCUACGCAUUUCAGCUCCAGUCUCGUAAAGACGUUGUGCUUCCCUGUGAGACAGUCCUGAAGGGGCAGCUCUCAACGAGGACAUAAGGUUUGGGGGCUGGCCAGCCUGAGGUAAACACUUUGCUGACCAGUCACUGCUGUAACUGUCCAGGCAACAGGUCAAGAACCCGGGUCCAUGAAAUCCAGACCACCGAGCAAGAGUCAGACCCACCAGGCUGGAGAGGUGAAUAGUGAUAAAGGAAGACUAGAAUAGAACAUAUUCUCAUGAUAAUAGCUCCCACCCGUCUAUACUUUUUUGGACUUUGCAGAACUCUUUCACAUUAUCUUAUUUAACCCUCACAGGCUCCAGGCAAGAUGGCCAUUAACAUCCCCAGGAAACUGAAGGAAGAAGGGUACAGACUGCACUCAACUACUGGCUUUUUUACUCAGCCAGAGGUGCCUGCACUGCCUUCAUCUGCAAGGACUUGUCUUCCUGCUCUCAUGGCAGCUCUCCUACCAUCAGUCUCUGGAACGCUGAGCAGCUUCUCUCACUCCCAGGCUUGGCUUCUGUUUGUGCCACUGCCAGUCUCAUGGUACGGUCCCAGGAGGAACGGGAAAAGCAUGUGGAUUUUGUGGGCCUGUGGAUUUCUGCAGAGAUAUGAGUGUUGAUUUAUUAUUUUCUCUGUGUGCUGAAAU
Molecule: long non-coding RNA, 707 nt
Filed under: Equus caballus (horse)
Lineage: Eukaryota; Metazoa; Chordata; Mammalia; Perissodactyla; Equidae
Description: lncRNA (ENSECAG00000060122.1)
Source: RNAcentral